RNAcentral lists this ribosomal RNA (450 nucleotides) under uncultured bacterium. Its description in RNAcentral is "partial 16S ribosomal RNA". It matches the Rfam family "Bacterial small subunit ribosomal RNA", at positions 354 to 796 of the family's 1533-position model. The record is from RNAcentral.
GUGGGGAAUCUUCCGCAAUGGACGAAAGUCUGACGGAGCAACGCCGCGUGAACGAUGACGGCCUUCGGGUUGUAAAGUUCUGUUAUACGGGACGAAUGGUACGACGGCCAAUACCCGUCGUAAGUGACGGUACCGUAAGAGAAAGCCACGGCUAACUACGUGCCAGCAGCCGCGGUAAUACGUAGGUGGCAAGCGUUGUCCGGAAUUAUUGGGCGUAAAGGGCGCGCAGGCGGCGUCGUAAGUCGGUCUUAAAAGUGCGGGGCUUGACCCCGUGAGGGGACCGAAACUGCGAUGCUAGAGUAUCGGAGAGGAAAGCGGAAUUCCUAGUGUAGCGGUGAAAUGCGUAGAUAUGGGGAGGAACACCAGUGGCGAAGGCGGCUUUCUGGACGGUGUCUGACACUGAGGCGCGAAAGCCAGGGGAGCGAACGGGAUUAGAUACCCUUGUAGUCC